Molecule: ribosomal RNA, 496 nt
Filed under: uncultured bacterium
Lineage: Bacteria
Description: partial 16S ribosomal RNA
Rfam family: Bacterial small subunit ribosomal RNA
Source: RNAcentral
AUGAACGCUGGCGGCGUGCCUAAUACAUGCAAGUCGAGCGAACAGAUGAGGAGCUUGCUCCUCUGACGUUAGCGGCGGACGGGUGAGUAACACGUGGAUAACCUACCUAUAAGACUGGGAUAACUUCGGGAAACCGGAGCUAAUACCGGAUAAUAUAUUGAACCGCAUGGUUCAAUAGUUAAAGACGGUUUUGCUGUCACUUAUAGAUGGAUCCGCGCCGCAUUAGCUAGUUGGUAAGGUAACGGCUUACCAAGGCAACGAUGCGUAGCCGACCUGAGAGGGUGAUCGGCCACACUGGAACUGAGACACGGUCCAGACUCCUACGGGAGGCAGCAGUAGGGAAUCUUCCGCAAUGGGCGAAAGCCUGACGGAGCAACGCCGCGUGAGUGAUGAAGGUCUUCGGAUCGUAAAACUCUGUUAUUAGGGAAGAACAAAUGUGUAAGUAACUAUGCACGUCUUGACGGUACCUAAUCAGAAAGCCACGGCUAACUACGUG